RNAcentral lists this ribosomal RNA (420 nucleotides) under Triticum aestivum (bread wheat). Its description in RNAcentral is "partial small subunit ribosomal RNA". Lineage: Eukaryota; Viridiplantae; Streptophyta; Magnoliopsida; Poales; Poaceae. The record is from RNAcentral.
GAUAAGAAGGAUGGCAAGGUGAACAAAGGUAUAUGUGAUAUACAUGUUAUUAAGGUGUACCUUACUAAUGCUCACAGUAGCACCUGGGUAUUUGAUACUAGUUCUGUUGCUAAUAUUUGCAACUCGAAACAGGGACUACGGAUUAAGCGAAGAUUGGCUAAGGACGAGGUGACGAUGCGCGUGGGAAACGGUUCCAAAGUCGAUGUGAUCGCAGUCGGCACGCUACCUCUACAUCUACCUUCGGGAUUAAUGUUAGACCUAAAUAAUUGUUAUUUGGUGCCAACGUUAAGCAUGAACAUUAUAUCUGGAUCUUGUUUGAUGCGAGAUGGUUAUUCAUUUAAAUCAGAGAAUAAUGGUUGUUCUAUUUAUAUGAGUAAUAUCUUUUAUGGUCAUGCACCCUUGAAGAGUGGUCUAUUCUUG